GCUCGAAAGAGAACCGUAACACAGGUGCUGCAUGGCUGUCGUCAGCUCGUGUCGUGAGAUGUUGGGUUAAGUCCCGCAACGAGCGCAACCCUUGCCAUUAGUUGCUACGAAAGGGCACUCUAAUGAGACUGCCGGUGACAAACCGGAGGAAGGUGGGGAUGACGUCAAGUCCUCAUGGCCCUUAUGGGUAGGGCUUCACACGUCAUACAAUGGUACAUACAGAGGGCCGCCAACCCGCGAGGGGGAGCUAAUCCCAGAAAGUGUAUCGUAGUCCGGAUUGUAGUCUGCAACUCGACUACAUGAAGUUGGAAUCGCUAGUAAUCGCGGAUCAGCAUGUCGCGGUGAAUACGUUCCCGGGCCUUGUACACACCGCCCGUCACACCAUGGGAGUGGGUUUUACCAGAAGUAGGUAGUCUAACCGCAAGGAGGGCGCUUACCACGGUAGUAUUCAUGACUGGGGUGAAGUCGUAACAAGGUAACCGUA
Molecule: ribosomal RNA, 484 nt
Filed under: uncultured bacterium
Lineage: Bacteria
Description: bacterial SSU rRNA
Rfam family: Bacterial small subunit ribosomal RNA
Source: RNAcentral